AACCAGUAGUUGUGUGCACAUCCAAUCCUGAUUAGGCCAGGUGCAGGAUAAUCAAGAAUAGCAGACAAAAAAAGAUAGGUAACGAUCUGCACACUAGUAAA
Molecule: long non-coding RNA, 101 nt
Organism: Thalassophryne amazonica
Lineage: Eukaryota; Metazoa; Chordata; Actinopteri; Batrachoidiformes; Batrachoididae
Exons: 3
Source: RefSeq, a predicted model, not a curated record